Molecule: ribosomal RNA, 253 nt
Filed under: uncultured bacterium
Lineage: Bacteria
Description: partial 16S ribosomal RNA
Rfam family: Bacterial small subunit ribosomal RNA
Source: RNAcentral
UACGGAGGGUGCAAGCGUUAUCCGGAUUCACUGGGUUUAAAGGGUGCGUAGGCGGGCAGGUAAGUCCGUGGUGAAAUCUCUGAGCUUAACUCAGAAACUGCCAUGGAUACUAUCUGUCUUGAAUAUUGUGGAGGUAAGCGGAAUAUGUCAUGUAGCGGUGAAAUGCUCAGAUAUGACAUAGAACACCAAUUGCGAAGGCAGCUUACUACACAGUUAUUGACGCUGAGGCACGAAAGCGUGGGGAGCAAACAGG